GAUGAACGCUAGCGACAGGCUUAACACAUGCAAGUCGAGGGGCAGCAUAGAAGUAGCAAUACUUUGGUGGCGACCGGCGCACGGGUGAGUAACGCGUAUGCAACCUACCUAUCAGAGGGGAAUAACCCGGCGAAAGUCGGACUAAUACCGCAUAAAACAGGGGCACCGCAUGGUGAUAUUUGUUAAAGAGAUUCGCUGAUAGAUGGGCAUGCGUUCCAUUAGGUAGUUGGUGAGGUAACGGCUCACCAAGCCGACGAUGGAUAGGGGAACUGAGAGGUUGGUCCCCCACACUGGUACUGAGACACGGACCAGACUCCUACGGGAGGCAGCAGUGAGGAAUAUUGGUCAAUGGGCGAGAGCCUGGACCAGCCAAGUCGCGUGAAGGAAGAAGGAUCUAUGGUUCGUAAACUUCUUUUGCAGGGGAAUAAAGUGCAGGACGUGUCCUGUUUUGUAUGUACCCUGAGAAUAAGGAUCGGCUAACUCCGUGCCAGCAGCCGACGG
RNAcentral lists this ribosomal RNA (501 nucleotides) under uncultured bacterium. Its description in RNAcentral is "bacterial SSU rRNA". It matches the Rfam family "Bacterial small subunit ribosomal RNA", at positions 28 to 520 of the family's 1533-position model. The record is from RNAcentral.